Molecule: transfer RNA, 72 nt
Filed under: Camelus bactrianus (Bactrian camel)
Lineage: Eukaryota; Metazoa; Chordata; Mammalia; Artiodactyla; Camelidae
Also listed under: 2 other names
Rfam family: tRNA
About the family: Transfer RNA (tRNA) molecules are approximately 80 nucleotides in length. Their secondary structure includes four short double-helical elements and three loops (D, anti-codon, and T loops).
Source: Rfam by way of RNAcentral
GAGGGUAUAGCUCAGUGACAGAGUGUGUGCUUAGCAUACACAAGGUUCUGGGUUCAAUCCUGAGUACCGCCA